This 83-nucleotide long non-coding RNA is filed under the name Aedes aegypti (yellow fever mosquito). RNAcentral describes it as "lncRNA AAEL019284". It matches the Rfam family "Sphinx_ conserved region 1", at positions 1 to 83 of the family's 100-position model. The record is from RNAcentral. Lineage: Eukaryota; Metazoa; Arthropoda; Insecta; Diptera; Culicidae.
GCGCGAUGAUUUUCGGUGAUUAUCCGGCGGAGUACAACCCGAAGAUCCACGGACCUUACGAUCCUGUCCGUUAAUACGGCAAG